UGGCUAUAUAGCGUUGAAACACCGGUUCCCGUACGAUCACCGGAGUUAAGCAACGUCGAGUUGGGACAGUACCUAGAUGGGUGAUCGCUUGGGAAUGCCAGGUGCUGUAAG
This is a non-coding RNA of Acanthosepion pharaonis, 111 nucleotides long. The record is from the annotation of a GenBank genome assembly. Lineage: Eukaryota; Metazoa; Mollusca; Cephalopoda; Sepiida; Sepiidae.